UAUUCUAUUAGUAUAAAAUAAUUACAGUUAGCUUCCACCUAAAAAAUCAUUAAGAUAGAAU
Molecule: transfer RNA, 61 nt
Filed under: Russelliana sp.
Lineage: Eukaryota; Metazoa; Arthropoda; Insecta; Hemiptera; Psyllidae
Description: tRNA-Gly
Source: RNAcentral